GGUCAUGAGCGCCAGCGCGAAGCCCCGGCUCGCUGGCCGGCAACCCUCCUCCGCGGUGGGGUGCCCCGGGUGAAGACCAGGCACCGGCAGCCGCCGGUGCAAGCGUGGCCU
Regulatory RNA element from Micromonospora aurantiaca ATCC 27029, 111 nucleotides. It matches the Rfam family "SAM (S-adenosyl methionine) riboswitch aptamer". From Rfam's summary of the family: SAM-IV is a mRNA element that regulates gene expression via direct sensing of S-adenosylmethionine (SAM or AdoMet). SAM-IV riboswitches share conserved nucleotide positions with the previously described SAM-I riboswitches sequence analysis and molecular recognition experiments suggest that SAM-I and SAM-IV riboswitches share similar ligand binding sites, but have different scaffolds. Lineage: Bacteria; Bacillati; Actinomycetota; Actinomycetes; Micromonosporales; Micromonosporaceae. The record is from Rfam.